Helianthus annuus (common sunflower) is the source of this 4867-nucleotide long non-coding RNA. RefSeq lists it as uncharacterized. The record is from RefSeq and is a predicted model, not a curated record. The transcript is spliced from 9 exons. NCBI's taxonomy places the organism in Eukaryota, Viridiplantae, Streptophyta, Magnoliopsida, Asterales, Asteraceae.
AUCUGUGAACUCAAAAUAUUUCUUCACCAAAAUAUUCAUUCUGAUCUUUACUUGAAAGUCAUGUUUUCUAUCAUCUGGUUUAAUUUUCCGACAAGGUUUUCGUCAAUCUGAUCCAUCGUUUCAUCUCAAGAUAAGGUAUAAAUAUAUUUUUUCCUACUUAUUACAUUCGUUUAAUGAUUCUAAAAUAUAUUACUAUAGAACCAAUCGAACCAAGUAAUUAUCCUAACGGCUUUUGUUAAAAAAAAAUUGAUUUUCUAUCUUCGUUUUCAUCUUGGUUUGUCAAUAUGGUCUAGAAGAGCCAUGGUUUAGAUUAUAAAAAUAUUAUUUUUCUCACUAGCAGUAUUUUAAAAAUAAUAACAUGUUUAUAUUAUUCGAUCAUAUUUAGCUUUAAACUAUUGAAUAUGAAUAUUUAUACUACUAGUUGCUUUUAAUAGUGAAUAUGUAAACAAUAUUUGAUGAUUUAUCUUUCAGAUUUUAAAUUAUCCUUUGUAUAUAUAUACGUUUAUUAAUAAAGUUUAUCUUUUAUUAACUAUCCUAUAUUAUAAUAGUAAAUAUAUAACUACAAAGCAAAUUCCUCUUUAUUAGAGUGUAAUUUUAUAUAUGUAUCUACUAGGUUAGAACCCCGUGUAUUACACGGGUUGAUUAAAUAUAUUUUUAUAUAAUAAAAAAUUAUAUCUUUAAUUACCCGUGUAUAACAUGAGUUGAAUAAGAACGUGUACUACACGGCUUGAAUAAAUAUAAUGUAAUCAGUUAACACACACAGUCGUCAAAAUAUGUUUUUGGUAAAAAGAACUUUGAUAUACUAUUUACAUAUUAGAACAUUUUACUUUGUUGUUUUUUAAUUUAUUAACAGGUUAACAACGUGUGUGUUACAUGUGGUCGGAUCAAUAAAAUAUUAAAUAGUUAUUAUUAUUAAGUUUAAAAAAUAAAAAAUAAAAAGACUCAGGCCCUCAACCACCGCCAUUAGAGACUUUUGAGUAUGAAAUGAAUCUAUUCACAAUUCAAAGAAACGUGAAUUUUGCACCCAAAUAUACAUUCAGUCCAUUAAAUCCACUUAUUUCUUCUUUCCCCAUUUAUGGCCCGUUGCUUUGUACCUAAAUAUUAGUUUUUAUUCUUCCCUAUUUAAUACAUGUAAUCUCAAUCAAGUAAUCAAAACUAAAGAGGAAAACAAUUACAACACUUUUCAGUUUGAAUUAACAUGCAGAACUAACGUGAGGCUAUUAACCUGCAAAUAUGGCUUGUUUGGCAUUUAGUCAGCGAAACGCGCCCUAGAUCUCUCCUCCAAGUGGAUGUUGAUAGCUCGGAAUGAAAAGGGGCUUGCUCCAUGUGAAUGGCCCCAUAAAUUUAAGAGAUCCAAUUGUGUUUGGAUUACAUCUCCGGUGAAAACAAAGGCAAUUUUGCUUGGGUUUCAGGCAGUUUUGCGUUUGCACCGCAUUUCCGUUCCAUUUUGCAAUACAAUUGAUGUCGGUCAUCAAACGAUAGUGGGACCCUCACAUGUUAGGCAUGUGAGGGAAAUAAAAUGAGAUAAUUAACUUUGUUAGUUAUAAAGGAUUAAACCAACAACAAAAAUAAAUUUAAAGGAUGUUUUUAGCAAGUUUUAAAUAUUAAGGCUGGAACCUGUAAGUUUGAAGAAACAUAAAGGACGUUUUGUGCAAUUUACUCGCAAAAUAAUAAAAUAAAGAUAAGUAUAUAAAGAUUAUGUUAGAAGAUAAAUAUAAAUAUAGAGAUAUAGUUAUAGAUAAACGUUGACUUAAAAUAUGGGAUAACUUGAUAAAUUAUUUUAAAACUUGUAAUUUUUAAGAUAAAAAUAAACAUAGAUAUAUGGCGGGAAAACUAAAAUGUAGAUGCCUCUCAUAUCGACACGUGUCCAUCAAUUGGUUUCUUUUAUUAUAUGUAUAGAUUAUUUAAUACAUAUAUAGAAUAUAUAUUAAAUUUUAUACCUUCAUAAACUCAGUUUGUACAAAAAAUUUAUCAAGUUUAUCACUCAUAGAGGACAUAACUAAUGGCAGCCGUUUUAAAAAGGUUUUAACUGUGAUAUAUAAAUAGAAGUCUCCAUAAACUUCAUUGACUUAUGAGUAUUUUAUUAAUUUAGAUGUACUAAAUGAAGAUCCAUAAAUGAAAAGAUUUUUAAAGUCUUAAGUCACUGGAAAUUUAAUAAAUGAACAAAAGAGUACAAAUCAAAAGUUUAACACCUCUAAAUAAUAUCACAAUAGGAUUUUGUGAUCGUCUACACGUAUUUGAUUGUCUCAAAUUGUGAUCAUCGCUUAAGGUACGGAUAGAAUUCCUUCCUUCAAUACAUGUCAUUUGGUCUUCGGGCAUCUGAUUCCUGAUUUUUAAAUUAUGCACUAAUUAUAUAACACUCUAAUUUUUAACAUUUCUAAGCAUAAGAGGUUGUACUUUGUGCUUGGUUUGUGGUUUGUGAUGUUAUAGGUAGAAAUUGUUUUCAUACCCACAAAACAACAAACCCUAUCUCCUGCCUUUUCAUUCAUCGAUCAUCUACUUUUUUCCUUCUUUUUGUUUUCAUACCCACAAAACACCAAACCCUAGAGAGAGAUAGAGACAGAGUUUAGAGGCAGGGAAGUGCAAUGGCGAAGGUGAUGUGGUUUGAACCUCCGCACGAGCACCUGCCGCUGCCUAAGCAUCACCACCGGAGUUCCCUGCCACUGCACGAACACCACCGGAGUUCCCAUCCGUUCACCGGAGCACCUCGAUCGUUCGCCUAGAAACGGUGUAUGCAUGAUGAAGCUGCACCGCAUUAUAUUGACAUGAUUGAUCAAACAACGUAUGGGCAUAAGUUUAUAAAAGAGUAGUUUAAUGUAACGCCAUGUAUUGGUUGGCGAAUAGACCUUGGUCAUUCGGCUGUGCAGGCUUACCUAUUGGGGGCAGAGCUUGGAUUUGAUUCUGUUUUCUUUGGGCGAACUGAUUACCUAGAUAGAGCUAAGCGAAAAGGAGAUAAACGUCUUGAAGUUAUCUGGCAGGGCUCCAAGAGUCUUAGUUCAUCUUCACAGAUUUUCGCAGGUGCUUUCCCCGAGAGCUACGAACCUCCACCAGGUGGUUUUUACUAUGAAGUUAACGACGAUUCCCCGAUUGUCCAGGAUGACAUUGACCUGUUUGACUACAAUUUGAAGAACGGGUUAAUGAUUUCGUGGCUGCAGCCUUAUCACAGGCGAACAUUACUCGCAAAAAUCAUGUAAUGUAGACAAUGAGAACAGACUCAAAUAUCAGUAUGCAGAUUCAUGGUUUCGGAAUAUGGACAAGUUUAUUCAUUAUGUCAAUAAAGAUGGCCGAGUCAAUGCUCUCUAUUCAACGCCAUCUAUAUACACCGAUGCUAAACAUGCUGAGACUGACUCGUGGCCUCUCAAAGAAGACGACUAUUUUCCAUAUGCAAGCGGUAUAGAUGUCUACUGGACUGGAUACUUUACUAGCAGGGCAGGUCUAAAGUGCUAUGUCAGAAUGUUGAGUGGCUAUUAUCUGUCAGCAAGACAAUUGGAAGUAAUGAACGGAAGGAAUAAACGGGCCCACUACAGACUAUUUGGGUGAUGCUUUGGUGAUUGCCCAGCAUCACGAUUGUGUUAGUGGUACUUCUCAACAACAUGUGGCUAAUGAUUAUGCAAAACGGCUCUCAAUAGGUUAAAGGAGGUACAACUUAAUUCUAUUUUUUUUUUUUUGCAAAUAAUAUUUUGAGUAAAAUGCCAUUUUCGUCUAUGAGGUUUGGCCAUUUUGCGACUUUCGUCCAUUGCGAAAUUGUUAGCGCAUGGGAAGCAUUUGGGUUUUUAGUUAUGUUUUAUUCACGGUUGACAAAAUGGGCCCACGUGGGAAGCAUGGGGACGGUGGUGAAUGGAAGUUUAAGAGCCUCGCAGACGAGUCAACUAGACCACAGUUGAUAAUCUUUAUUUUUCUUUCAAUUUAAAGUUAUAUUUAUUGUUAUUUUGUUGAUUUUUUGAUUGGCAUGAGAGGGAAUUCCAAGUUGCAAAUUUACCAUAUAAGCCGGAUUCCAAAGUGAUGCCAGAGAGUCAUUCAUAUGAGCAUUUGAACGCAUUUUAUGAACAGUUUACGUGUCUUGAUGUCGACUGACUAGAAAUAUAAAUCCAGCCCCCGCCGCAUCGCGGCGGGUUACGCUUCUAGUUUAUAUUAUAAAAAUGUUACGAGUUUACGUGUUUAUAUAUGUACAAGUUUAAGGUUAUGUACAUGUAUUAUGUUACCCAAGUCAGUCCCUUUUUCUGUGAGGAUGACCACAGACCCAUCAUUGUGGCAUAAAAUGAUGUGGCACCAUCCGUGACGGUGAGUUGAGUUCACGGCGUCUCUUCUGUUUUAGUCUACGGACUUCUGUUCAGAGGCGUAUAGAUCGAUCCUAGGAAAAAAGUAAAUAAAGUCUGAUAUCUGGUGAAUGGUCGGUGUGAUUUGCCCACACUCCGUUCUCCAUUCAUGUCUGGAUACAUGGGCUAGCUACCCUGUAUCAACCUCUGUAAUAAAAUGAACCUUCUGGACUUCUGGUAAAUCUGUAUAUCAUAUUCUGAUAAUAUUUGUUAUACUUAUUUAAUAUAUUUUGAAUUAUGAAAACUUAGCGUUUUUGCUAAAACAAAGGUUUUUUUUUUUGAAGAACUUUGCCUUUUUCUCAAAUAAAAUAAGCCUUUUUGUUUCCCUUUAUCCGCACACUGGGCAAAACUUUCAAAUUUUGCUCAGACGUACGUUUUUGUGUUUUCUUCUUUACGUCAGGUUAUCAAGAUUUCUGGGUCGGGAAAUGGAAGAGUGCUCGAGUGUUUGGAAAAGACCGUAGAAAUAAAUGUACUGGAUUAGAUAUCCUAUUUCCAUUAAGUUGUAAACCCUUGUAAUACAUUUAAGUAUUAAUGGAAUUAUGUUUUUGAUC